This 69-nucleotide transfer RNA is filed under the name Marmota marmota marmota (Alpine marmot). It matches the Rfam family "tRNA". Rfam says of the family: Transfer RNA (tRNA) molecules are approximately 80 nucleotides in length. Their secondary structure includes four short double-helical elements and three loops (D, anti-codon, and T loops). Further hydrogen bonds mediate the characteristic L-shaped molecular structure. tRNAs have two regions of fundamental functional importance: the anti-codon, which is responsible for specific mRNA codon recognition, and the 3' end, to which the tRNAs corresponding amino acid is attached (by aminoacyl-tRNA synthetases). tRNAs cope with the degeneracy of the genetic code in two manners: having more than one tRNA (with a specific anti-codon) for a particular amino acid; and 'wobble' base-pairing, i.e. permitting non-standard base-pairing at the 3rd anti-codon position. The record is from Rfam by way of RNAcentral. RNAcentral also lists the same sequence under 1 other name. Lineage: Eukaryota; Metazoa; Chordata; Mammalia; Rodentia; Sciuridae.
GGGGCUGUAGCUUAGUGGCAGAGCACUUGCCUAGCAUGCAUGAGGCACUGGGUCCAAUCCUCAGCACCA